This 200-nucleotide ribosomal RNA is filed under the name uncultured bacterium. RNAcentral's name for it is "partial 16S ribosomal RNA". It matches the Rfam family "Bacterial small subunit ribosomal RNA", at positions 8 to 208 of the family's 1533-position model. The record is from RNAcentral.
AGAGUUUGAUCCUGGCUCAGGACGAACGCUGGCGGCGUGCCUAAUACAUGCAAGUCGAGCGGAUUCAUUCCUUCGGGAAUGGGUUAGCGGCGGACGGGUGAGUAACACGUGGGCAACCUGCCUGUAAGACUGGGAUAACUAUCGGAAACGAUAGCUAAGACCGGAUAAUUGGUAUCCUCGCAUGGGGAGAUCAUGAAAAG